UCGAGACCGAUAGUUCACCUUAACCUACUUGUAAGGGCGGGCGUCGGCCAGCUUCCGGUGAAUUAUCGGAUGGAAGGUCGACGGGUCUACACCCGAAUCGUUCCAGUAUUUAAGCCGGGCCGCCGGUAGAUCACCCAUCACUGGUCUCUUAUCGCCGAUCUUCCCGCUUUCAACAUGAACACUCUGUUGUCCGUUUUGGACUUGGCCACCUUGUGCGCCGACGGCAUGGCCGGAUACCUGGGAGGCUACGGCUUGGGAUUGGCCGGUAGAGACGCCGCCGUCACAGUCAGCUUGGACAACCAGCGAGCCGCUCCCUACGGAGGAUUAGGAGCUUUCGGCGCCUACGGAGCCUACGGACUGGGAUACGGAGGCUACGGACUGGGAUACGGAGGCUACGGAUU
This 401-nucleotide long non-coding RNA is filed under the name Androctonus crassicauda. The record is from RNAcentral. Lineage: Eukaryota; Metazoa; Arthropoda; Arachnida; Scorpiones; Buthidae.